Molecule: ribosomal RNA, 1349 nt
Filed under: uncultured bacterium
Lineage: Bacteria
Description: bacterial SSU rRNA
Rfam family: Bacterial small subunit ribosomal RNA
Source: RNAcentral
UUAGAGUUUGAUCCUGGCUCAGGAUGAACGCUAGCUACAGGCUUAACACAUGCAAGUCGAGCGGUAUGUGCUUUAGUGCAUACAGCGGCAGACGGGUGAGUAACACGUAUCUAACCUUCCCCUUACUUGGGCAUAGCCUCUGGAAACGGAGAUUAAUUUCCGAUGUGGUGUACAUUUCGCAUGUUUUGCGCACCAAAGAUUUAUCGGUAAGGGAUGGGGAUGCGCUCCAUUAGGUUGUAGGUAGGGUAAUGGCCUACCUAGCCUAUGAUGGAUAGGGGUUCUGAGAGGAAGGUCCCCCACAUUGGAACUGCGACACGGUCCAAACUCCUACGGGAGGCAGCAGUGAGGAAUAUUGGUCAAUGGACGCAAGUCUGAACCAGCCAUGUCGCGUGCAGGAUGACUGCCCUAUGGGUUGUAAACUGCUUUUAUAUUGGAAGAAUUGCGCUUACGAGUUAAGCGUUUGACGGUACAUUAUGAAUAAGGAUCGGCUAACUCCGUGCCAGCAGCCGCGGUAAUACGGAGGAUCCGAGCGUUAUCCGGAUUUAUUGGGUUUAAAGGGUGCGUAGGCGGAAAUGUAAGUCAGUGGUGAAAUCCUGCAGCUUAACUGUAGAAUAGCCGUUGAAACUGUGUUUCUUGAGUACAUUUGAGGUAGGCGGAAUGUGGUGUGUAGCGGUGAAAUGCAUAGAUAUACCACAGAACACCGAUUGCGAAGGCAGCUUACUAAACUGUCACUGACGCUGAUGCACGAAAGCGUGGGUAUCAAACAGGAUUAGAUACCCUGGUAGUCCACACUGUAAACGAUGAUAACUCGCUGUCGGCGAUACACAGUCGGUGGCCAAGCGAAAGCAUUAAGUUAUCCACCUGGGGAGUACGACCGCAAGGUUGAAACUCAAAGGAAUUGACGGGGGCCCGCACAAGCGGAGGAACAUGUGGUUUAAUUCGAUGAUACGCGAGGAACCUUACCCGGGCUCGAACGGUGCAUGAAUAUACGAGAGAUUGUAUAGUCCUUCGGGACAUGUAUCGAGGUGCUGCAUGGUUGUCGUCAGCUCGUGCCGUGAGGUGUCGGCUUAAGUGCCAUAACGAGCGCAACCCUUGUCAUUAGUUGCCAUCAGGUCAAGCUGGGGACUUUAAUGAGACUGCCACCGUAAGGUGUGAGGAAGGGGGGGAGGACGUCAAAUCAGCACGGCCCUUAUGUCCGGGGGGACACACGUGUUACAAUGGGAGGUACAGAGGGCAGCUAUCCGGUGACGGAAUGAUAAUCUCCAAAACCUUUCUCAGUUCGGAUUGGAGUCUGCAACUCGACUCCACGAAGGUGGAUUCGCUAGUAAUCGCGCAUCAGCCAUGGCGCG